RNAcentral lists this ribosomal RNA (252 nucleotides) under uncultured bacterium. RNAcentral describes it as "partial 16S ribosomal RNA". It matches the Rfam family "Bacterial small subunit ribosomal RNA", at positions 524 to 776 of the family's 1533-position model. The record is from RNAcentral.
UACGGAGGAUGCAAGCGUUUUCCGGAUUUAUUGGGUUUAAAGGGUGCGUAGGCGGGAUGCCAAGUCAGCGGUAAAAAUGCGGUGCUCAACGCCGUCGAGCCGUUGAAACUGGCGUUCUUGAGUGGGCGAGAAGUAUGCGGAAUGCGUGGUGUAGCGGUGAAAUGCAUAGAUAUCACGCAGAACUCCGAUUGCGAAGGCAGCAUACCGGCGCCCUACUGACGCUGAGGCACGAAAGCGUGGGUAUCGAACAGG